UUGAGAGUUUGAUCCUGGCUCAGAACGAACGCUGGCGGCAUGCCUAACACAUGCAAGUCGAACGAGAAGCUUCUUCGGAAGUGGACAGUGGCAGACGGGUGAGUAACGCGUGGGGAUCUGCCCAGAGGUUCGGAACAACCAUUGGAAACGAUGGCUAAUACCGGAUAAGCCCGCAAGGGGAAAGAUUUAUCGCCUUUGGAUGAACCCGCGUAAGAUUAGCUAGUUGGUGAGGUAAUGGCUCACCAAGGCGACGAUCUUUAGCUGGUCUGAGAGGAUGAUCAGCCACAUUGGGACUGAGACACGGCCCAGACUCCUACGGGAGGCAGCAGUGGGGAAUCUUAGACAAUGGGGGCAACCCUGAUCUAGCCAUGCCGCGUGAGUGACGAAGGCCCUAGGGUCGUAAAGCUCUUUCGCCAGAGAUGAUAAUGACAGUAUCUGGUAAAGAAACCCCGGCUAACUCCGUGCCAGCAGCCGCGGUAAUACG
RNAcentral lists this ribosomal RNA (484 nucleotides) under Pteridomonas danica. RNAcentral describes it as "partial Bacterial small subunit ribosomal RNA". It matches the Rfam family "Bacterial small subunit ribosomal RNA", at positions 1 to 527 of the family's 1533-position model. Lineage: Eukaryota; Dictyochophyceae; Pedinellales. The record is from RNAcentral.